GUGGGGAAUUUUGGACAAUGGGGGCAACCCUGAUCCAGCCAUUCCGCGUGAGUGAAGAAGGCCUUCGGGUUGUAAAGCUCUUUCGGCAGGAACGAAACGGUGGUCCCUAAUACGGAUUGCUAAUGACGGUACCUGAAGAAGAAGCACCGGCUAACUACGUGCCAGCAGCCGCGGUAAUACGUAGGGUGCGAGCGUUAAUCGGAAUUACUGGGCGUAAAGCGUGCGCAGGCGGUUCUAUAAGACAGAUGUGAAAUCCCCGGGCUUAACCUGGGAACUGCGUUUGUGACUGUAGGACUCGAGUGUGGCAGAGGGGGGUGGAAUUCCACGUGUAGCAGUGAAAUGCGUAGAGAUGUGGAGGAACACCGAUGGCGAAGGCAGCCCCCUGGGUCAACACUGACGCUCAUGCACGAAAGCGUGGGGAGCAAACAGGAUUAGAAACCCCUGUAGUCC
RNAcentral lists this ribosomal RNA (450 nucleotides) under uncultured bacterium. RNAcentral describes it as "bacterial SSU rRNA". It matches the Rfam family "Bacterial small subunit ribosomal RNA", at positions 354 to 796 of the family's 1533-position model. The record is from RNAcentral.